UAAUACAGAGGGUGCAAGCGUUAAUCGGAGUUACUGGGCGUAAAGGGCGCGUAGGCGGUUAUAUGUGUGUGAUGUGAAAGCCCCGGGCUUAACCUGGGAAGUGCAUCGCAAACUGUAUAGCUAGAGUAUAUGAGAGGGUGGCGGAAUUUCCGGUGUAGCGGUGAAAUGCGUAGAGAUCGGAAGGAACGUCAAUGGCGAAGGCAGCCACCUGGCAUAAUACUGACGCUGAGGCGCGAAAGCGUGGGGAGCGAACAGG
This 256-nucleotide ribosomal RNA is filed under the name uncultured bacterium. RNAcentral's name for it is "partial 16S ribosomal RNA". It matches the Rfam family "Bacterial small subunit ribosomal RNA", at positions 521 to 776 of the family's 1533-position model. The record is from RNAcentral.